UACGUAGGCAGCAAGCGUUGUUCGGAGUUACUGGGCGUAAAGGGUGUGUAGGCGGUUUUCUAAGUCUGGUGUGAAAUCUCCCGGCUCAACUGGGAGGGUGCGCCGAAAACUGGAAGGCUAGAGUGCGGGAUGGGAGAGUGGAAUUCCUGGUGUAGCGGUGAAAUGCGUAGAUAUCAGGAGGAACACCGGUGGCGAAGGCGGGUCUCUGGGCCGAUACUGACGCUGAGGAGCGAAAGCGUGGGGAGCGAACAGG
Molecule: ribosomal RNA, 253 nt
Filed under: uncultured bacterium
Lineage: Bacteria
Description: partial 16S ribosomal RNA
Rfam family: Bacterial small subunit ribosomal RNA
Source: RNAcentral